This 218-nucleotide non-coding RNA is filed under the name Candidatus Scalindua. Lineage: Bacteria; Pseudomonadati; Planctomycetota; Candidatus Brocadiia; Candidatus Brocadiales; Candidatus Scalinduaceae. The record is from RNAcentral.
UGCAGUAACGUUUUAUAAGAACUUUUAUUGUGUGUGAGAUACAAGGGAAUCCCUACCGAAUUAACUUCGGGUAACGGGAGCUGCCCCGCAACUGUAAUCGGCGACGAAAUCUGCAAAAUGCCACUGUCCAGCCCUUUCUUAGGAAAGAGCGAGAUGGGAAGGCGUAGAAAGUAGGAAGACCCGAAAGCCAGGAGACCUAUCUCACAUUUUUUCUAAAA